AAUAGAUACCCAGGUAGUCCAUGCCGUAAACGUUGGGCGCUAGAUGUGGGGACCAUUCCACGGUUUCCGUGUCGCAGCUAACGCAUUAAGCGCCCCGCCUGGGGAGUACGGCCGCAAGGCUAAAACUCAAAGGAAUUGACGGGGGCCCGCACAAGCGGCGGAGCAUGCGGAUUAAUUCGAUGCAACGCGAAGAACCUUACCAAGGCUUGACAUAUACGAGAACGCUCUAGAAAUAGAGAACUCUUUGGACACUCGUAUACAGGUGGUGCAUGGUUGUCGUCAGCUCGUGUCGUGAGAUGUUGGGUUAAGUCCCGCAACGAGCGCAACCCUCGUUCUAUGUUGCCAGCGGUUCGGCCGGGAACUCAUAGGAGACUGCCGGGGUCAACUCGGAGGAAGGUGGGGAUGACGUCAAAUCAUCAUGCCCCUUAUGUCUUGGGCUUCACGCAUGCUACAAUGGCCGGUACAAGGGCUGCAAUACCGUAAGGUGAGCGAAUCCCAAAAGCCGGUCUCAGUUCGGAUUGAGGU
This 525-nucleotide ribosomal RNA is filed under the name uncultured bacterium. Its description in RNAcentral is "bacterial SSU rRNA". It matches the Rfam family "Bacterial small subunit ribosomal RNA", at positions 777 to 1304 of the family's 1533-position model. The record is from RNAcentral.